Molecule: ribosomal RNA, 497 nt
Filed under: uncultured bacterium
Lineage: Bacteria
Description: partial 16S ribosomal RNA
Rfam family: Bacterial small subunit ribosomal RNA
Source: RNAcentral
GAUGAACGCUGGCGGCGUGCCUAAUACAUGCAAGCCGCGCGAACAGACGAGGAGCUUGCUCCUCUGACGUUAGAGGCGGACCGGUGAGUAAGCUUUGGAUAAUCUACCUUUAAGACUGGGUUCAAUUAGGGCAACCGGAGCAAAUACCGCAUGAUAUAUUGAACAGUAUGGUCCAAUAGUGAAAGACGGUUUUUCUUUCCCAUAUACAUGGACCCGCGCCGCAUUGGCUAGUUGGUAAGGUAACGGCUUACCAAGGGAACUAUGCGUAGCGGACCUGAGAGGGUGGUCGGCCACACUGGAGCUGAGACACGUGCCAGACUGCUACGGGAGGCAGCGGUAGGGGAUCUUCCGCAAGGGGCGGAAGAUUGACGGAGCAACGCCGCGUGAGUGAUGAAGGUCUUCGGAUCGUAAAAGUCUGGUAUUGGUGAAGAACAAAUGUGUAAGUAACUAUGGACGUCUUGACGGUGCCUAAUCAGAAAGGAGCGGCUAACUACAUG